RNAcentral lists this unclassified non-coding RNA (292 nucleotides) under Hevea brasiliensis (rubber tree). Lineage: Eukaryota; Viridiplantae; Streptophyta; Magnoliopsida; Malpighiales; Euphorbiaceae. The record is from RNAcentral.
CUGGUUAUUUGUCUCUCCUAUCCCUGCUGCUACUGCAGGUGCCCGGAAUUCAUGGAAUCUCUGGUAGAGGGGAGUCGAGAAAAAUGCAGUAGGAGCUUAUUUUGCCUUUCAUGGCUUUAAUUUGAGCUUCAGAUCCUGAAUCUCCAUAAAUGGGUAUGGGUAUGACUGGUUAAGGUGACCAGCUUUGUGCGGCAACCGCAAGUGUUGGUACUCUGGAACGUUAUAGCUAAGGAGCGGAUUUCAAGGUCCCUUGACUUGCCAAACGAUUUCCAGUAUGCCUAUACAGUUAGUC